RNAcentral lists this long non-coding RNA (240 nucleotides) under Elaeis guineensis (African oil palm). Its description in RNAcentral is "long non-coding RNA (EGUI_LNC053856)". The record is from RNAcentral. Lineage: Eukaryota; Viridiplantae; Streptophyta; Magnoliopsida; Arecales; Arecaceae.
GUCCGUAUGAUGGCCUGGCCAAUUUUGUUAGUGUCUAAGAAAAGCUACGGGGAGCCUCGCACCUACUGACCUGGUCAAUUUGAUCUUAUUGAGUUUCAGACUUAGAUUGAAUAGUGAUGUAGACACUACAAAGGCCUUCCUUCAAGCUUGAUCAAUAGAGUAUGUCAAGAUUUUAGUGAGCUUGUUGUGCUAUCCACAAGACUUACUAUAGAAAUUGAUUUGAUGUUGACUAAGUGCAUA